RNAcentral lists this ribosomal RNA (2902 nucleotides) under Klebsiella pneumoniae. Its description in RNAcentral is "23S ribosomal RNA". It matches the Rfam family "Bacterial large subunit ribosomal RNA". Lineage: Bacteria; Pseudomonadati; Pseudomonadota; Gammaproteobacteria; Enterobacterales; Enterobacteriaceae. The record is from RNAcentral.
GGUUAAGCGACUAAGCGUACACGGUGGAUGCCCUGGCAGUCAGAGGCGAUGAAGGACGUGCUAAUCUGCGAAAAGCGUCGGUAAGGUGAUAUGAACCGUUAUAACCGGCGAUGUCCGAAUGGGGAAACCCAGUGCAAUUCGUUGCACUAUCGUUAACUGAAUACAUAGGUUAACGAGGCGAACCGGGGGAACUGAAACAUCUAAGUACCCCGAGGAAAAGAAAUCAACCGAGAUUCCCCCAGUAGCGGCGAGCGAACGGGGAGCAGCCCAGAGUCUGAAUCAGCUUGUGUGUUAGUGGAACGGUCUGGAAAGUCCGACGGUACAGGGUGAUAGUCCCGUACACCAAAAUGCACAGGCUGUGAACUCGAAGAGUAGGGCGGGACACGUGGUAUCCUGUCUGAAUAUGGGGGGACCAUCCUCCAAGGCUAAAUACUCCUGACUGACCGAUAGUGAACCAGUACCGUGAGGGAAAGGCGAAAAGAACCCCGGCGAGGGGAGUGAAAAAGAACCUGAAACCGUGUACGUACAAGCAGUGGGAGCACCUUCGGGUGUGACUGCGUACCUUUUGUAUAAUGGGUCAGCGACUUAUAUUCUGUAGCAAGGUUAACCGUAUAGGGGAGCCGCAGGGAAACCGAGUCUUAACUGGGCGUUAAGUUGCAGGGUAUAGACCCGAAACCCGGUGAUCUAGCCAUGGGCAGGUUGAAGGUUGGGUAACACUAACUGGAGGACCGAACCGACUAAUGUUGAAAAAUUAGCGGAUGACUUGUGGCUGGGGGUGAAAGGCCAAUCAAACCGGGAGAUAGCUGGUUCUCCCCGAAAGCUAUUUAGGUAGCGCCUCGUGAAUUCAUCUUCGGGGGUAGAGCACUGUUUCGGCUAGGGGGUCAUCCCGACUUACCAACCCGAUGCAAACUACGAAUACCGAAGAAUGUUAUCACGGGAGACACACGGCGGGUGCUAACGUCCGUCGUGAAGAGGGAAACAACACCGACCGCCAGCUAAGGUCCCAAAGUCAUGGUUAAGUGGGAAACGAUGUGGGAAGGCACAGACAGCCAGGAUGUUGGCUUAGAAGCAGCCAUCAUUUAAAGAAAGCGUAAUAGCUCACUGGUCGAGUCGGCCUGCGCGGAAGAUGUAACGGGGCUAAACCAUGCACCGAAGCUGCGGCAGCGACACUAUGUGUUGUUGGGUAGGGGAGCGUUCUGUAAGCCUGCGAAGGUGACCUGUGAGGGUUGCUGGAGGUAUCAGAAGUGCGAAUGCUGACAUAAGUAACGAUAAAGCGGGUGAAAAGCCCGCUCGCCGGAAGACCAAGGGUUCCUGUCCAACGUUAAUCGGGGCAGGGUGAGUCGACCCCUAAGGCGAGGCCGAAAGGCGUAGUCGAUGGGAAACAGGUUAAUAUUCCUGUACUUGGUGUUACUGCGAAGGGGGGACGGAGAAGGCUAUGUUAGCCGGGCGACGGUUGUCCCGGUUUAAGCAUGUAGGCUGGUUAUCCAGGCAAAUCCGGAUAAUCAAGGCUGAGGUGUGAUGACGAGGCACUACGGUGCUGAAGUAACAAAUGCCCUGCUUCCAGGAAAAGCCUCUAAGCAUCAGGUAACAUCAAAUCGUACCCCAAACCGACACAGGUGGUCAGGUAGAGAAUACCAAGGCGCUUGAGAGAACUCGGGUGAAGGAACUAGGCAAAAUGGUGCCGUAACUUCGGGAGAAGGCACGCUGGUGUGUAGGUGAAGUCCCUGCGGAUGGAGCUGAGACCAGUCGAAGAUACCAGCUGGCUGCAACUGUUUAUUAAAAACACAGCACUGUGCAAACACGAAAGUGGACGUAUACGGUGUGACGCCUGCCCGGUGCCGGAAGGUUAAUUGAUGGGGUUAUCCGUAAGGAGAAGCUCUUGAUCGAAGCCCCGGUAAACGGCGGCCGUAACUAUAACGGUCCUAAGGUAGCGAAAUUCCUUGUCGGGUAAGUUCCGACCUGCACGAAUGGCGUAAUGAUGGCCAGGCUGUCUCCACCCGAGACUCAGUGAAAUUGAACUCGCUGUGAAGAUGCAGUGUACCCGCGGCAAGACGGAAAGACCCCGUGAACCUUUACUAUAGCUUGACACUGAACAUUGAGCCUUGAUGUGUAGGAUAGGUGGGAGGCUUUGAAGCGUGGACGCCAGUCUGCGUGGAGCCAACCUUGAAAUACCACCCUUUAAUGUUUGAUGUUCUAACGUUGGCCCCUGACCGGGGUUGCGGACAGUGUCUGGUGGGUAGUUUGACUGGGGCGGUCUCCUCCCAAAGCGUAACGGAGGAGCACGAAGGUUAGCUAAUCCUGGUCGGACAUCAGGAGGUUAGUGCAAUGGCAUAAGCUAGCUUGACUGCGAGCGUGACGGCGCGAGCAGGUGCGAAAGCAGGUCAUAGUGAUCCGGUGGUUCUGAAUGGAAGGGCCAUCGCUCAACGGAUAAAAGGUACUCCGGGGAUAACAGGCUGAUACCGCCCAAGAGUUCAUAUCGACGGCGGUGUUUGGCACCUCGAUGUCGGCUCAUCACAUCCUGGGGCUGAAGUAGGUCCCAAGGGUAUGGCUGUUCGCCAUUUAAAGUGGUACGCGAGCUGGGUUUAGAACGUCGUGAGACAGUUCGGUCCCUAUCUGCCGUGGGCGCUGGAGAAUUGAGGGGGGCUGCUCCUAGUACGAGAGGACCGGAGUGGACGCAUCACUGGUGUUCGGGUUGUCAUGCCAAUGGCACUGCCCGGUAGCUAAAUGCGGAAGAGAUAAGUGCUGAAAGCAUCUAAGCACGAAACUUGCCCCGAGAUGAGUUCUCCCUGAGACUUUAAGUCUCCUGAAGGAACGUUAAAGACGAUGACGUUGAUAGGCCGGGUGUGUAAGCGCAGCGAUGCGUUGAGCUAACCGGUACUAAUGAACCGUGAGGCUUAACCUU